GGGCACGGUGCAGCGCCGCCUCCCGUUCGCCUCUGCGCCUGGCCCGGCGACUGCGGGCGCUGCGGUCCACUGGGUCCGCCUCUUCCCGGCAUGGGUUUCUGCCCAGCUCACCCGCUGUCAGCUGGGGUCCUGCUCUGGUGGGAGGAAGAGGCUCAGACGCUUCCCUGCCCUCUCGCCUCAACCACCUCGAGGCAGCGGCUCCCAGGAUGUGCACUUUGACGACUAAAGCUGAGCCGGCGCCGCCACGACCUUGGGCGGGUGGUCGGCCUCUGCCCUGAGCAGGAAGUAGAAAGUCUCAGCAGACCCUUCCUGAGGGCCGAGCAACAGUGUAGUGGCGUAUUCCACAUAGCAAACAGUUUUCUGAAGCUCAGAGGGACACCUUGUAUUGCUGGAUGAUAAAAACAGGAGCAAAGUGAUGAAGUGCUGACAAGGCAACAAUAGAACAUGAGAGAUUCACUGCUGUGUAGGAAGAGAUCUUCGGUGACCAUGUAGCCUGAAGCUCUCAUUUUGUCAUCGAGGGACACCAAAACUCAGAACAGCAGCAGCUCACGCUGCUGAUGCAACACAGGUGAAGAGCACCUUCCCCUCCCCCACCUGUGGGCUGAUUCCCACCACGUGGAUCCCAAGGCCAUCCCAGGAACUCUUUGGAGGGGAGAAGCCCAGUGGAAACUGUCAGGCCUCUGAGCACAAGCCAAGCCAUCGCAUCCCCUGUGACUUGCACGUAUAUGCCCAGAUGGCCUGAAGUAACUGAAGAAUCACAAAAGAAGUGAAAAGGCCCUGCCCCACCUUAACUGAUGACAUUCCACCAUUGUGAUUUGUUCCUGCCCCACCUUCACUGAGUGAUUAACCCUGUGAAUUUCCUUCUCCUGGCUCAGAAGCUCCCCCACUGAGCACCUUGUGACCCCCGCCCCUGCCCACCAGAGAACAACCCCCUUUGACUGUAAUUUUCCAUUACCUUCCCAAAUCCUAUAAAACGGCCCCACCCCUAUCUCCCUUCGCUGACUCUCUUUUCGGACUCAGCCCGCCUGCACCCAGGUGAAAUAAACAGCCAUGUUGCUCACA
RNAcentral lists this long non-coding RNA (1062 nucleotides) under Homo sapiens (human). RNAcentral's name for it is "PREDICTED lncRNA (TCONS_00018229)". The record is from RNAcentral. Lineage: Eukaryota; Metazoa; Chordata; Mammalia; Primates; Hominidae.